This 512-nucleotide ribosomal RNA is filed under the name uncultured Bacteroidota bacterium. RNAcentral describes it as "bacterial SSU rRNA". It matches the Rfam family "Bacterial small subunit ribosomal RNA", at positions 72 to 581 of the family's 1533-position model. Lineage: Bacteria; Pseudomonadati; Bacteroidota. The record is from RNAcentral.
AUUGGUGCUUGCACCAGAUGACGAGUGGCGCACGGGUGCGUAACGCGUAUGCAACCUACCUUUUACUAGAGUAUAGCCCAGAGAAAUUUGGAUUAAUCCUCUAUAACAUCUUUAAAUUUCAUGAUUUUUAGAUUAAAGUUUUAACGGUAAAAGAUGGGCAUGCGUCCUAUUAGUUUGUAGGUGAGGUAACGGCUCACCUAGACUACGAUAGGUUGGGGCCCUGAGAGGGGGAUCCCCCACACUGGUACUGAGACACGGACCAGACUCCUACGGGAGGCAGCAGUAAGGAAUAUUGGACAAUGGACGAAAGUCUGAUCCAGCCAUGCCGCGUGCAGGAUGAAAGCCCUAUGGGUUGUAAACUGCUUUUAUACAGGAAGAAAAACUCCGACGUGUCGGAGCUUGACGGUACUGUAAGAAUAAGGAUCGGCUAACUCCGUGCCAGCAGCCGCGGUAAUACGGAGGAUCCAAGCGUUAUCCGGAAUCAUUGGGUUUAAAGGGUCCGCAGGCGGUCU